UUUAUACGGCGAGAUCCUUUAAACUCGCCUUCCGAAACGCAGUACGUCUUGAAAUCGCCAACCGCGUAUACCUCAAAAAACUCAUCGGGUACCAGAGGCAACACAAGCAAAACGUCCUUCCCGAGUCCCGAUCGCUCCCUCUGCGUCUGCUCACUUCUCCAUGACCACUGAUGCAGCCUUUUCGCUUAAGCGGAUUCCCGGAGUCCAGGAGCCAUCCAACGCUAGUAGUGAAGCUGCAGACAGUAAUGGUGGUCAACCUAGUGCUUUAUACGGCGAGAUCCUUUAAACUCGCCUUCCGAAACGCAGCACGUCUUGAAAUCGCCAACCAUGUAUACCUCAAAUUACUCAUCGGGUACCAGAGGCAACACAAGCAAAACGUCCUUCCCGAGUCCCGAUCGCUCCCUCUGCGUCUGCUCACUUCUCCAUGACCACUGAUGCAGCCUUUUCGCUUAAAUUCCCGGAGUCCUGGAGCCAUCCAACGCUAGUAGUGAAGCUGCAGACAGUAAUGGUGGUCAACCUAGUGCUUUAUACGGCGAGAUCCUUUAAACUCGCCUUCCGAAACGCAGUACGUCUUGAAAUCGC
Dermacentor albipictus is the source of this 582-nucleotide non-coding RNA. The record is from RefSeq and is a predicted model, not a curated record. Lineage: Eukaryota; Metazoa; Arthropoda; Arachnida; Ixodida; Ixodidae.